RNAcentral lists this unclassified non-coding RNA (302 nucleotides) under uncultured Corticiales. RNAcentral's name for it is "sequence contains ITS2". The stretch from base 1 to 52 matches the Rfam family "5.8S ribosomal RNA", at positions 103 to 154 of the family's 154-position model. Lineage: Eukaryota; Fungi; Basidiomycota; Agaricomycetes. The record is from RNAcentral.
AACGCACCUUGCGCUCCUUGGUAUUCCGAGGAGCAUGCCUGUUUGAGAGUCAUUAAAUUCUCAACUCUCUAGCGGUUGUCAUGACCGCUGGUAGAGCUUGGAUGUGAGGGUUUUGCCGGCUCCUUGCAGAGUCUGGCUCCCUUGAAAAAUAUUAGCGCAGCUUUGCACUGUCUGCUACAGGUGUGAUAAUCUAUCUACUCCUGAUUAGUGACGCGCAUGAAUAGAGCUAUGUGCUUCUAAUCGUCUCCGGACAAUUUUUUGAACUUGACCUCAAAUCAGGUAGGACUACCCGCUGAACUUAA